GACGAACGCUGGCGGCGUGCCUAACACAUGCAAGUCGAACGGAGAUACGAUUUCGGUUGUAUCUUAGUGGCGAACGGGUGAGUAACGCGUGAACAACCUGACUCUAAGAGGGGGAUAACACUCGGAAACGGGUGCUAAUACCGCAUAAGACCACGACCCGGCAUCGGGAUGAGGUCAAAGGAGUAAUCCGAUGAGAGAGGGGUUCGCGUCCCAUUAGAUAGACGGCGGGGUAACGGCCCACCAUGUCAACGAUGGGUAGCCGAGCUGAGAGGCUGAUCGGCCACACUGGAACUGAGACACGGUCCAGACUCCUACGGGAAGCAGCAGUGGGGAAUAUUGGGCAAUGGGCGCAAGCCUGACCCAGCAACGCCGCGUGAGGGAAGAAGGCUUUCGGGUUGUAAACCUCUGUCCUUGGUGACGAAACAAAUGACGGUAGCCAAGGAGGAAGCCCCGGCUAACUACGUGCCAGCAGCCGCCGUAA
RNAcentral lists this ribosomal RNA (481 nucleotides) under uncultured bacterium. RNAcentral describes it as "partial 16S ribosomal RNA". It matches the Rfam family "Bacterial small subunit ribosomal RNA", at positions 28 to 523 of the family's 1533-position model. The record is from RNAcentral.